This 302-nucleotide ribosomal RNA is filed under the name uncultured bacterium. RNAcentral's name for it is "partial 16S ribosomal RNA". It matches the Rfam family "Bacterial small subunit ribosomal RNA", at positions 508 to 807 of the family's 1533-position model. The record is from RNAcentral.
GCAGUAGCCACGGUAAUACAGAGGGUGCGAGCGUUAAUCGGAUUUACUGGGCGUAAAGCGUGCGUAGGCGGCUUUUUAAGUCGGAUGUGAAAUCCCUGAGCUUAACUUAGGAAUUGCAUUCGAUACUGGGAAGCUAGAGUAUGGGAGAGGAUGGUAGAAUUCCAGGUGUAGCGGUGAAAUGCGUAGAGAUCUGGAGGAAUACCGAUGGCGAAGGCAGCCAUCUGGCCUAAUACUGACGCUGAGGUACGAAAGCAUGGGGAGCAAACAGGAUUAGAUACCCGUGUAGUCCAUGUCUCUUAUAC